CCUACGGGUGGCAGCAGUGGGGAAUAUUGGACAAUGGGCGAAAGCCUGAUCCAGCCAUGCCGCGUGUGUGAAGAAGGCCUUCGGGUUGUAAAGCACUUUCAGUGGGGAAGAAAGCCUUGAGGCUAAUACCCUCGAGGAAGGACAUCACCCACAGAAGAAGCACCGGCUAACUCCGUGCCAGCAGCCGCGGUAAUACGGAGGGUGCGAGCGUUAAUCGGAAUUACUGGGCGUAAAGCGCGCGUAGGCGGUCUGAUAAGCCGGUUGUGAAAGCCCCGGGCUCAACCUGGGAAUGGCAUCCGGAACUGUCAGGCUAGAGUGCAGGAGAGGAAGGUAGAAUUCCCGGUGUAGCGGUGAAAUGCGUAGAGAUCGGGAGGAAUACCAGUGGCGAAGGCGGCCUUCUGGACUGACACUGACGCUGAGGUGCGAAAGCGUGGGUAGCAAACAGGAUUAGAUACCCUAGUAGUC
RNAcentral lists this ribosomal RNA (465 nucleotides) under Vreelandella stevensii. RNAcentral describes it as "partial 16S ribosomal RNA". It matches the Rfam family "Bacterial small subunit ribosomal RNA", at positions 338 to 795 of the family's 1533-position model. Lineage: Bacteria; Pseudomonadati; Pseudomonadota; Gammaproteobacteria; Oceanospirillales; Halomonadaceae. The record is from RNAcentral.